This 299-nucleotide ribosomal RNA is filed under the name Teloglabrus entabenensis. Its description in RNAcentral is "partial 12S ribosomal RNA". The record is from RNAcentral. Lineage: Eukaryota; Metazoa; Arthropoda; Insecta; Diptera; Diopsidae.
AUCUUUAUAAUUUUACUAUCAAAUCCACUUUCAAUAAUUUUUUCAUAAUUAUUUCCAUAUAAAUAUUUUUAUUGUAACUCAUUAUUUACUUAAAUAUAAGCUACACCUUGAUCUGAUAUAAAUUUUAUUUUAAAUUUUAGAAAAUUAUUAUUCUUUUAAAAUAUUCUAAUAACAACGGUAUAUAAACUGAUUAACUAAUUCAAGUAAGGUCCAACGGGGAUUAUCGAUUAUAAAACAAGUUCCUCUGAAUAGACUAAAAUACCGCCAAAUUUUUUAAGUUUCAAGAACAUAACUAAUAC